GAUGAAGAACGCAGCGAAAUGCGAUAAGUAAUGUGAAUUGCAGAAUUCAGUGAAUCAUCGAAUCUUUGAACGCAUCUUGCGCUCCUUGGUAUUCUGAGGAGCAUGCCUGUUUGAGUGUCAUUAAAUUCUCAACUACACUGACUUUGAAUUGGUGUGGCUUGGAUUUGGGGGGAAAAUUGUUGUGGGCUUUUUGUAUAGUCUGCUCCCCUGAAAUUGAUUAGCGGUACCAUUGUGGAACUGUCUACAGGUGUGAUAAUUAUCUACAUCUUAGACAUCUGCUGGAAUGCUGCUUUCUAAACCUUACUUGUAUUGACAAUCUUGACCUCAAAUCAGGUAGGACUACCCGCUGAACUUAAGCAUAUCAAUAAGCGGAGGA
Molecule: unclassified non-coding RNA, 376 nt
Filed under: soil metagenome
Description: partial contains 5.8S ribosomal RNA, internal transcribed spacer 2, and large subunit ribosomal RNA
Rfam family: 5.8S ribosomal RNA (bases 1-120)
Source: RNAcentral